This 428-nucleotide ribosomal RNA is filed under the name uncultured bacterium. RNAcentral's name for it is "bacterial SSU rRNA". It matches the Rfam family "Bacterial small subunit ribosomal RNA", at positions 355 to 775 of the family's 1533-position model. The record is from RNAcentral.
UGGGGAAUUUUGGACAAUGGGGGCAACCCUGAUCCAGCAAUGCCGCGUGUGCGAAGAAGGCCUUCGGGUUGUAAAGCACUUUUGUCCGGAAAGAAAACGUUCGUGCUAAUACCAUGAGCGGAUGACGGUACCGGAAGAAUAAGCACCGGCUAACUACGUGCCAGCAGCCGCGGUAAUACGUAGGGUGCAAGCGUUAAUCGGAAUGACUGGGCGUAAAGCGUGCGCAGGCGGGUUUGCAAGACAGAUGUGAAAUCCCCGGGCUCAACCUGGGAACUGCAUUUGUGACUGCAAGUCUAGAGUAUGGCAGAGGGAGGUGGAAUUCCAUGUGUAGCAGUGAAAUGCGUAGAGAUAUGGAGGAACACCGAUGGCGAAGGCAGCCUCCUGGGCCAAUACUGACGCUCAGGCACGAAAGCGUGGGGAGCAAACAG